UGCAGUCGAGCGGCAGCGGGAAGUAGCUUGCUACUUUGCCGGCGAGCGGCGGACGGGUGAGUAAUGUCUGGGGAUCUGCCCGAUGGAGGGGGAUAACUACUGGAAACGGUAGCUAAUACCGCAUAACGUCGCAAGACCAAAGUGGGGGACCUUAGGGCCUCACACCAUCGGAUGAACCCAGAUGGGAUUAGCUAGUAGGUGGGGUAACGGCNCACCUAGGCGACGAUCCCUAGCUGGUCUGAGAGGAUGACCAGCCACACUGGAACUGAGACACGGUCCAGACUCCUACGGGAGGCAGCAGUGGGGAAUAUUGCACAAUGGGCGCAAGCCUGAUGCAGCCAUGCCGCGUGUGUGAAGAAGGCCUUCGGGUUGUAAAGCACUUUCAGCGGGGAGGAAGGGGUUGAGGUUAAUAACCUUAAUCAUUGACGUUACCCGCAGAAGAAGCACCGGCUAACUCCGUGCCAGCAGCCGCGGUAAUACGGAGGGUGCGAGCGUUAAUCGGAAUUACUGGGCGUAAAGCGUACGCAGGCGGUUUGUUAAGUCAGAUGUGAAAUCCCCGAGCUUAACUCGGGAACUGCAUUUGAAACUGGCAGGCUAGAGUCUCGUAGAGGGGGGUAGAAUUCCAGGUGUAGCGGUGAAAUGCGUAGAGAUCUGGAGGAAUACCGGUGGCGAAGGCGGCCCCCUGGACGAAGACUGACGCUCAGGUACGAAAGCGUGGGGAGCAAACAGGAUUAGAUACCCUGGUAGUCCACGCUGU
This 757-nucleotide ribosomal RNA is filed under the name Serratia sp. M47C12B1. RNAcentral's name for it is "bacterial SSU rRNA". It matches the Rfam family "Bacterial small subunit ribosomal RNA", at positions 56 to 803 of the family's 1533-position model. Lineage: Bacteria; Pseudomonadati; Pseudomonadota; Gammaproteobacteria; Enterobacterales; Yersiniaceae. The record is from RNAcentral.